GAUGAACGCUGGCGGCGUGCCUAAUACAUGCAAGUCGAGCGAACAGACGAGGAGCUUGCUCCUCUGACGUUAGCGGCGGACGGGUGAGUAACACGUGGAUAACCUACUUAUCAUACUGGGAUAACUUCGGGAAACCGGAGCUAAUACCGGAUAAUAUAUUGAACCGCAUGGUUCAAUAGUGAAAGACGGUUUUGCUGUCACUUCUCGAUGGAUCUGCGCCGCAUUAGCUAGUUGGGAAGGUAACGGCUUACCAAGGCAACGAUGCGUAGCCGACCUGAGAGGGUGAUCGGCCACACUGGAACUGAGACACGGUCCAGGCGCCUACGGGAGGCAGCAGUAGGGAAUCUUCCGCAAUAGGCGAAAGCUUGACGGAGCAACGCCGCGUGAGUGAUGAAAGUCUUCGGAUCGUAAAACUCUGUUAUUAGGGAAGAACAAAUGUGUAAGUAACUAUGCAUGUCUUGACGGUACCUAAUCAGGAAGCCACGGCUAACUACGUG
This 497-nucleotide ribosomal RNA is filed under the name uncultured bacterium. Its description in RNAcentral is "partial 16S ribosomal RNA". It matches the Rfam family "Bacterial small subunit ribosomal RNA", at positions 28 to 507 of the family's 1533-position model. The record is from RNAcentral.